AUUAGAUACCCGUGUAGUCCUAGCCGUAAACGAUACUCGCUAGGUGUCGGCCACGGUGCGACCGUUGUCGGUGCCGUAGGGAAGCCGUGAGGCGAGCCACCUGGGAAGUACGGCCGCAAGGCUGAAACUUAAAGGAAUUGGCGGGGGAGCACCACAACGGGUGGAGCUUGCGGUUUAAUUGGAUUCAACGCCGGAAAUCUUACCGGGACCGACAGCAAUAUGAAGGCCAGGCUGAAGACUUUGCCGGAUUAGCUGAGAGGAGGUGCAUGGC
RNAcentral lists this ribosomal RNA (271 nucleotides) under uncultured archaeon. RNAcentral's name for it is "partial 16S ribosomal RNA". It matches the Rfam family "Archaeal small subunit ribosomal RNA", at positions 728 to 998 of the family's 1478-position model. The record is from RNAcentral.